This 490-nucleotide ribosomal RNA is filed under the name uncultured bacterium. RNAcentral describes it as "partial 16S ribosomal RNA". It matches the Rfam family "Bacterial small subunit ribosomal RNA", at positions 30 to 507 of the family's 1533-position model. The record is from RNAcentral.
UGACCGCUGGCGGCAUGCUUUCCACAUGCAAGUCGCACGGUAACAGGCCUUCGGGUGCUGACGAGUGGCGAACGGGUGAGUAAUGCAUCGGAACGUACCCAGAGGUGGGGGAUAACGCAGCGAAAGCUGUGCUAAUACCGCAUGUGAUCUGAGGAUGAAAGCGGGGGACCGAGCAGCAAUGUUUGGCCUCGCGCCUUUGGAGCGGCCGAUGUCGGAUUAGCUAGUUGGUGGGGUAAAGGCCUACCAAGGCGACGAUCCGUAGCUGGUCUGAGAGGACGACCAGCCACACUGGGACUGAGACACGGCCCAGACUCCUACGGGAGGCAGCAGUGGGGAAUUUUGGACAAUGGGCGCAAGCCUGAUCCAGCAAUGCCGCGUGCGGGAAGAAGGCCUUCGGGUUGUAAACCGCUUUUGGCAGGAACGAAACGGUGUCCGCUAAUACCGGGCGCUAAUGACGGUACCUGCAGAAUAAGCACCGGCUAACUACGUG